AGAGUUUGAUCAUGGCUCAGGAUAAACGCUGGCGGCGCACAUAAGACAUGCAAGUCGAACGGAAGUCGUUACGAAAUGGAAUGAAGAUUUAUCUGAUUGAAGUUUUGUAACAAUGGCUUUAGUGGCGGACUGGUGAGUAACACGUAAGCAAUCUACCUAUUAGAGGGGAAUAACAAUGAGAAAUCAUUGCUAAUACCGCAUAAGCUUGUAGUACCGCAUGGUACAGCAAGAAAAGGAGCAAUCCGCUAAUAGAUGAGCUUGCGGCUGAUUAGCUAGUUGGUGGGGUAACGGCCUACCAAGGCGACGAUCAGUAGCCGACCUGAGAGGGUGACCGGCCACAUUGGGACUGAGACACGGCCCAAACUCCUACGGGAGGCAGCAGUGGGGAAUAUUGCACAAUGGGGGAAACCCUGA
This 414-nucleotide ribosomal RNA is filed under the name uncultured bacterium. RNAcentral's name for it is "bacterial SSU rRNA". It matches the Rfam family "Bacterial small subunit ribosomal RNA", at positions 8 to 386 of the family's 1533-position model. The record is from RNAcentral.